Betta splendens (Siamese fighting fish) is the source of this 7378-nucleotide long non-coding RNA. RefSeq lists it as uncharacterized. Lineage: Eukaryota; Metazoa; Chordata; Actinopteri; Anabantiformes; Osphronemidae. The transcript has 3 exons. The record is from RefSeq and is a predicted model, not a curated record.
CGUGGCAGUGUGGUACAUCCAGUACAACGGGUCUGGAGCUGUCUGAGGAAACCAGUGGCUUCAACCAGACUGUGUCCACGUCUGCUGGCUUCCGGAGGCGCGUGGUGCGGCCCGAUCUCGGUUUGGUGACUGAUCUCGGUGACCCAGCUGUCGCUCUCCCUCUGUGGCCAAUGAAUCCUCAGCCCCAGCUCUCGCACUGCAUCCGUCAACAGUCAGUGUGACUGAAAGACAGCUUGACAGCGGGCGAGCCACUGCAUCGCCGGGCGCAGUGGCGGCAACGCUGAAUCACACUUCUUCAUUCGGAAACCAGCAGCUUUGUAAAAGGACUCGUCCUUUGUGGUUUAUUUUUUCUUUUGCCUCAUCACCAGAUUAUGAACAAUGAAAGCUUAGGUGCUGCAUGGUCCUGACUUGCUGUCAUUAUGGCCAUUCUCCUAUUGUGCUGUGUGUGUCCUCACAGACUUGUUACUGCUCCAGCCUCCUGGCUUCGCAUGGUCAUCACCUUGGUAACUUGAUGACAUCCACAAUCGUGUGUGUGUGUGUGUGUGUGUGUGUGUGUGUGUGUGUGUGUGUGUGUGUGUGUGUGUGUGUGUGUGUGUGUGUGUGUGUGUGUGUGUGUGUGUGUGUGUGUGUGUGUGUGUGUGUGUGUGUGUGUGUGUGUGUGUGUGUGUGUGUGUGUGUGCGCACCUGUCAGAUGUGACAGACUGUACUGUACCCGAGUCAGUCAGGAACAGCAUGAAUUUCUAGUGAGCUUCAUUUUCCAUGUACUUCUAGUCAAUUACAGUUUCCAUGCUCGUGUGGAGGCAUCUACCUAUUGGGAAACAGCAUCCAAAGGAAAAUGUAAUCAAGCUGAUGAAUUCAUCAUAUUUGACAACCGCACAACACUCGAAAGCAUAGCUGCCAAUAUUAGAAAUAUUGUUUUCCUCUGAUCUAAUCUAUCUAAUAUCUAAUAUAUGUUGCAGAUACAAGUAUGAUUAUGGUUGAUUGAUGUCAACACUCUGCGUGCGCCUUUUGAUUUGUUCUCAUCAGAGUCAUAAAAGCUCCUUUUUUAAAUGUAAUCGCCUUGCUUCCAACCUUGGGCGUGAGCGGAUGCAGGGAUAUAGUGAACUCAGUAGACGUUCAACCAUCGAGUUGUCUUUCUCUUUCUUUAGAUUAAGCUCUGCUCGUCUCCAGCUCCGGCUCCUGCUGUCUCCUCACCUUCUCGGAAUGCGAUGUGUGUUUGCCACCUUCCCUGGUAAUUACCUGGUGAUGAAGCAUGUGGGCAGGAGAUGAAGGAGAUAAGCCUGGACCAGACUGGCUCAGGUCACCAGACCUUCACAACGUCCUGCAGAGCUUUGUGGACGAUUCACAAAUCUUCGACUGAGAGCUGAGAAACGGCCGACGUCUGCAAAAAUGAACAAAGAGGGCAGUAAUUUGACAGAAUCGACUUUGAGAAAAUCAACACGGCUCAUUGUGUGGACUUGAAGUGUUAGAAUCAAUGAAAUGAAUGGGAGACGAGAGUUGGAUGGGGAGACGCAGAUGGUGGUUUUGGCUGCGUCAGUCGAGGGCUGCAGAGACGAUAAUGGCUCCAGCCCGCAUCAUUUACAGCUUGUUAAAAUCUGCUGUUCCUCAAACUGUCUCCAUAUGGGUCGUAUAAGAUAUUCCUAACAAAAGCAGCUUUCUCCUGAAGACUGUCAUAUGUCAUCAGUGGCACAGUGCGUAUGAACGCGUUCCUCCACGAACGCAGUUGUUGCUGUAACCACUAAUAUACUGCUUCUCUCGUUGUGUUUAGGUUAGAGCAUAAUCCCUCGCUGAUAAUCGCUGAUCUCUGAAUAUGAAGUGGAUUUCAUGACUGCAUUCAUGAACGUUGUCCUUCCACGUCUGUGUUGUUCUAAGAAGUGGUCCGGAGGCGGUAAUUCAUCCUAAACAAAGCAGGAUGUUGGCGAGUGGCUUUAGAGCUCCUGCAGCCGAGCCCGGUUUAUCAGAGGGGGGGGCACGACGCUGAUGAUGCAGAAGUGAGGAAACACAGAGAUCAGAGCACCGGUCCAGAGAAAAAUGGAGGCCUCUGAAGAAAGAUGGAUGUUGGCGUGAUGGAGGAGACCGCACAGCUGGAGAGCUGAUUCUUCUAAAGGUGUAAUGAUUCUGAGGCAGAAAGUCAACUAUGACCGCUGCUGAAAGAGCCUUUUGUGCCUGUUGUGUGUCGCUCGAUGUUUGUCUGUGUCUGCUGUGUGCUGACGCCACCUACUGGAUAAAUUCUUGCCUUGCACUGCUUUAUCGACAUGUUGUCUCUAUGCACUGAACAACACUUUCCUUUUGUCCCAGCGAUUUAUAGCACUUUGCAAUAACUGCUGCCUCUGUGGACACAUACGGUGAAGACAAUAUCCUGCAACACAAUGGGCUCCAGUUCUAAAUUUGCCCACACCGCUGAUGUUUUGACUGGGGCCCAGAUCAGCUGAUAAGUCAGCAGGGCCAAACAGGUGGUGGGUGUCCUUUCACAGCCGCACACCUGCCCGUCUCUCGGAUUCCGAACGAAUCGCACCCGCGCGUACUUCACCCGUGUCGGUGUCCGUUCUUGGCCGUCCCGCGUUUUUGAAAAGGCAAAUCUAAACGCGGAGGGAACAAAGGGCGCACUGUGUCGGCUGGGGAUGUUCGUCACCUGCGGUAACACUAUGAUGUAGUGGAGCUGGGAUUACAUGGGUUCAGGAAUGUGAAGGGUGACAGCUCGGACAAGAUGACUAUUGUUGAGGGUAACACCUGAACUGGUAGCAGAGGUGAAAAGUGAUCAGGACGUGGGGAAACGGCCAAUCUCUGUCUGAGAAGUCUGUCAAUAUUUGAUUUUUCUGUCUUAAAAGGGUCAAAUGAAUAAUAUAUAGAACAUAGACGCCACAGCGGAGGUGGUUACUACAGGUCAUCUAUUAUGUAGGUGUUUAUAGUUGCAUGUGCAAGUUGUAAGUUUUGUAUAACUGAUAUACACGUUCUUCAAAAGUUCUUGCAGCUGUUCCCCCGAAAUCAGCCCCACAGAUCUAGGCAGAAACUUUAUGAGGACUGAAUAGUAUGUCUGUCUUUAUUUCCAGGCCAGAUGGGACACAUUAGGGAGUGGACCUGGUUAAAUAUACAGAACCGCUCCUUGCAGCAGGUUGGUGCCCUGUGCUUUAGGUGGGCAGCUGCCGGGUGCUUCAGAUCUUUCUAUUUUAAAAACACGGAAAACCGCGGAAUAACAUUCAGAGGCCUGAGAAAUGUCCUUCACACAUAUGUAAGGUGCACGCCGCGCCGGCCGUUAAAGGGGAGCGUGAAUAGAGCAAUUGAGAGACGGGAGAAACCUGUGGAAUGCACUGGUAAACCACUGUCCAGAUGUUGAGUGGCAGGACAGGAGUGAUAUGGGCAGCGGCGUGUGGAGGACGGCGGACUUUGAUGUGGCGAGGACAUAGAGGGAAACAAACGACGACAUGAUUAUCUGCUUUACUGCAUAAACGGGUCCUGAAAUGUUUAUAUGUUAAUGUCAAGCUUCUAUUCAACACAGAUGAGACGUCGCCUGUACACACAGAACGUGUGUGUGUGUGUGUGUGUGUGUGUGUGUGUCUGUGUGUGUGUGUGUGUGUGUCCAUCCAUGUUUUCUUUAACAAGUAGUUGCUUGUGCGUUGCUUUGCGGCGUAUUGUAGUUAUUAAAGUCAGCAAGAAAGGAGUCUUUGUCACGGUCAUCAUCUAAACCCAGUCACACGGGCCAUCUUGUGCCAGAGAUCCCGACUCGUUUUCACCACGGCAUUCCUGGGCUGUUUGGUAGGCCCAUAGGGGUCGGUUCCCUCCCUCCAGCUACUCGUGUCUGGAUUCUUCCUUCCAACUUCCUGCGUCCUGAUCAUUCAUCUCCCGUCGAGGUUGAGGAAUUUGUAAUAUAAUGGGGUGAAGCCCUGUCCAGGUGGUUUUAUAUGAAAUUCAAAAUUUCCGUCCACACUCUGUUCACUUUCCCAUUUUUCUGUGAAUGUGGUGUUGCUCCCUGCAAUGUUUCAUUGACUGACAAACAAACAGGCCAUUCAUGGGACAGCGAGUCUUCCCAAGAAACUCAACCUUAUGUUUAUGCAUUCUUCCAGUCAAAGAGCCCGUUUGCGGUCGAGCUAUUUCAAUUUCCCAUGUUUCACUCUCUCUCUCUCUCUCGUUGUUUGUCUCAAAUAUUUUUCCAAGCUUCUUCCUCCUCACUCCUGCUUCCGUCUCGUGUGUCGUCCUGGUUCACGUACCCUGUAUCCUAAUGCAUUCGUUAGGCUAUAAGUCAUAAUCCAUGGGUAGAUGGGUUGUAAUUGAUCCUGGGGCAGGCUAAAUUACAGCCCACCUGGGGAACGCGGCUGACUGGGUUUAGCGCGCUCGAGGCCUGUUAUUUUUAGAUUUACCUUGUCCUGAAGCCGGUGUCAGUCAUUGUCAGUUUAAAAGCUGGGCGUGCCUGCUGCACAUAAUGCUCAUGUUUGUUAAACGAGUCAGAUGCGAUACCACAGUUACGACAGCAUGUUUGUUUGAUUUCUUCAGUGUUUUAAUUGCAGGCGAGCGAGCAAACACACGGAGGAGACGGACCGCGUCAGGGACCAGGCAGCUUGGUUUGUCGGUGAUCAUCACCACCCCUGAUCACUGCCUGUGCUUUCAGUUUGUAGAAACAUGACUAAGUUAGAUGGCAUUUUUAAGGCACAGAGGCUGCACUACCUGGAAGGGCGAUAUGAGGACGCUAUCAAGUUCUGCCCACAGAUUUCUGAAUGGGCAGGUGGAUGGAAGCCCUCAAGCUUCGAAGUUUCAGGUUGCACACGAGGACUCCACUCUGCACCACAACUGAUUUAAAAAGAGAUGCCUCCAAAUGUUAAAAACCCUGUAUGUGGGUGACUAAGGUUUUGUUCUGUGGAAAACUGUCGCUCAUUAUGUCUGGCGGUGGGGAAAAAAAAGGGGACCCGGCUGGUGGUGGUGGCUCGGUGAUGCUCUGGGGCGGAUUUUUUUUUUUUUUUUUUUUUUUUUUUUUUUUUUUUGUCAUUCAUAAUCCAUUUUCUCGAAUUAUGUCUUAGCAUUUCUAUCAAUUCUGUCUGUUUUCUAGCCAGACCUAAUCUAUGGAUCUGACUUAAUCCGGGGGGGGGGGGUUAGCUCCUGCCUCAGCACGCUAGCUUCUGGUAGGGCCUGGGCAAAUGGCACACAUCCUUGUGACGCGCUGACUCCCUCGUGUGUUUGUCUUGGCAGAUACAGAUCUUCUUGGCUUCUGUUUGCUUUUUGUCUUCACGAUAAACUCCUUCACCUCCUGGUUAAGCGUGUCCAUACAAUAAAACACCUACAUACUGGUACGGGUCUUACCUACUGAGCCUUCUACUGUAUUGGUAUUGUAAUUCACAUGUCAGUACGAUCACAUAUUUGGCCUUUUACAAAUGUUUUGCUGGGUAAAAAGCGAUGGUUGCUUUCUCCCUUUUUUCCGUUCGUCUGACUAAUCUACAGAGGUCACAGAGAAAACAUGUCUUCCUUGGACUCCUCUACUGUGUUACUUCCUUAAUUCUUCUGUGGAAAUAUCUUGACAAACCUGGCUCCACAACUGCCAAGGCACAUUCUGUACUACAACAAGUAAUGUGCUGUGCCGUAUUUGAGUCUGGUUCAGCAGAAACAGGGAGACUCAGUUCCCCCGGCUGUGCAGGUGCUGGGAGAACACCUGCUGGGAGUCCUGGCCGAUCCACGCUGGGCCGGGCUUGUCUGGUGGAAAUCAGCACUCUAUCAGAAUUCAAAUUCGGCUUUUCCUUCCGUGAACCAGUGAGCUCACUCUGAACGCUCCAGCCACAGCUCCGGUCCCAGCUCCAGCCGCAACCUCCCCUAAGCCUCAGCCCCAACCUGGGCGUCAACCCUUUGACAGUUUAGAGAGCAAAAGGACUGCGCGAGCUGACCCAAACUUCCCAGGAUGAGAAAACUUUAAAUCUAAAUGUUAUUCUUCUGGCUCCUCAAAGGAUACAUUGUGUGGGGAUCCAGAAGGACAUACCAGGCUGUGAAAGAGGCUCUUUCUUGUUUUCUGCCCAUUGGCCCCCUCCCAGCCUCUCCGGGUCGGCCUGUCUCUCUCUGACAACAGCUGCUUGCUGCUUGUGGAGACUGGGGGUGAGCGGCGCAGCUCCAGACAUCUGUAGGCUCCGGGCCGCCUAGCUCUGGCUUUCUUUUUUGCGCACACAUACAUUGGAGCCCACAGUCUGUCCAGCACAAAGGACUACAUUCAUCCCCCUCAUACAGUCCACUGGUGAAGAGGUCGCCUGACGCUCCCGAGCUUUGCUGCUUUCUCUCCCUUUCUACAUCUCCCACCGUCCUCUCGGAUACUCCCUCGCUGCUCAGACUCUCUCCGUCCCGUUUCUUUCUUUCCGAGCAGCGGCCGUUCUUCCAUUCAUGCCGUUCAGAAUCAAAUAAUCAGCUGUGGUUAACCAGAAAGACAGCGAGGGCCACAGGUCUCAAUUAUAGGAGACAUAUUCUCCAUUCGAGGAAGCUCACUGACCUGCCUCUGGCUUUCGUUUGCGUCUAAACGUGGGUGUCUUUGAAUAAUAUGUGGGAAAGUGAACGCUUGUGUGUCUCACUGUGUGAGUUUUACCUCCUAACCCUGAGAACGGGCAUUCCAGUGCAGAGGACUUGCCGACUAAGUUCACAAAGGGAUACUGAGAGAGGCCUGAGCGAACAGAGAUCCUUUGUACAGAAUGAAUGUGGCCAUGAGAAGUUUGGGAACGACGUGGGUUCAGAAGCAUCACAAAGUUGCCUGUAAAACCGCAUCCACUGAUAGGAAGCGGGCCGCUUUUAAGGCAAGAACCUCAGUUUGGCCUUUAAAACAUAGGCAGCAUCUGUCGCUACAGUGUUGCUGUGGGAGCUCAACUAAAAUGGUGUUUAAAUCAGCGUUACGGUCAUCGUUCAUACUGUAUAAACGUGUGAUUGUGAAGAGUUUGUUCAUUUAACCUGCCUCCACUGUUUGUUUUUUUUAAAUGUUUCCUCUCAGACCUUUCAAAGUAGCUACGACUCUAGUUAAGUCCAUACUUGGGGACAUUUUUUGGAUGUUCUUGCUGGAGGACAAAACCUCCUUCAACUGCUUGUGCAAUAAAAUCUUGGGUUCCAUAAGCUGACCUGCCCUUUUACUUCUUUCUUCUGUUCCUACAGCACUAUAGUAUCUGUACUGUUGUUGUUGUUGUUCCUCAUCCGACCCAUAGGUGGCAGAUGUCUAUAUUUUAUGUUCCCUCAGGACUUUGGCUCCAUUGCAACUAUUUGAACUGGAUGACAUCAAAAGCCAUCACUUGUCUUCCAGUGUAUAAUGUCUGACUCACAGCAGUUGUACUUAUAGUUUACAAAGCUGGAGCACACUGACUCGCCUUUUAACUCUUGCUUCAGACUCACUUAGUGACCAUGACGGCGCUGCAGUAAACGCAAACACGGCAUG